This 468-nucleotide ribosomal RNA is filed under the name uncultured bacterium. RNAcentral's name for it is "partial 16S ribosomal RNA". It matches the Rfam family "Bacterial small subunit ribosomal RNA", at positions 28 to 507 of the family's 1533-position model. The record is from RNAcentral.
GACGAACGCUGGCGGCGCGCCUAACACAUGCAAGUCGAACGGAGUCAAGAGGAGCUUGCUUUUCUUGACUUAGUGGCGAACGGGUGAGUAACGCGUGAGUAACCUGCCCUUGAGUGGGGGACAACAGUUGGAAACGACUGCUAAUACCGCAUAAGCCCACGGAUCCGCAUGGACCUGCGGGAAAAGGAUUUAUUCGCUUCAGGAUGGACUCGCGUCCAAUUAGCUAGUUGGUGAGGUAACGGCCCACCAAGGCGACGAUUGGUAGCCGGACUGAGAGGUUGAAUGGCCACAUUGGGACUGAGACACGGCCCAGAAUCCUACGGGAGGCAGCAGUGGGGGAUAUUGCAAAAUGGGGGAAACCCUGAUGCAGCGACGCCGCGUGGAGGAAGAAGGUUUUCGGAUUGUAAACUCCUGUCGUUAGGGACGAUAAUGACGGUACCUAACAAGAAAGCACCGGCUAACUACGUG